This 434-nucleotide ribosomal RNA is filed under the name uncultured bacterium. RNAcentral describes it as "bacterial SSU rRNA". It matches the Rfam family "Bacterial small subunit ribosomal RNA", at positions 340 to 787 of the family's 1533-position model. The record is from RNAcentral.
UACGGAAGGCAGCAGUGGGGAAUAUUGGACAAUGGGCGAAAGCCUGAUCCAGCCAUGCCGCAUGAGUGAAGAAGGCCUUCGGGUUGUAAAGCUCUUUUAGUGAGAAAGAUAAAUGACGGUACUCACAGAAGAAGUCCUGGCUAACUCCGUGCCAGCAGCCGCGGUAAUACGGAGAGGGCUAGCGUUAUUCGGAAUUAUUGGGCGUAAAGAGCGCGUAGGCUGAUUAGUAAGUUAAAAGUGAAAUCCCAAAGCUUAACUUUGGAAUUGCUUUUUAAAACUGCUAGUCUAGAGAUUGAAAGAGGAUAGAGGAAUUCCUAGUGUAGAGGUGAAAUUCGUAAAUAUUAGGAGGAACACCAGUGGCGAAGGCGUCUAUCUGGUUCAAAUCUGACGCUGAGGCGCGAAGGCGUGGGGAGCGAAACAGGGAUUAGAUACCC